AAGGAUGACUACUUAUAUUUGUUCCCCAAACCUAUAUUUGUUAUUAUAUUUAAGGUCAAAGACGCCGUGUGUUUUCAUUUAAUUCAGACACAUUUGACCCACAUUAUUUGAUUCCGGACACAAUAAUUUAUUUCGGACAGUCUCUAUAUUUAGGCAUCAAUAAACUCAGAUUUUAAUUCUAUAUUAACAUUAACUAAAUUUUAAGAUCCUCAGGCAUAGCCCAUCACAUGAAAUCAUAACGAUGUUUUCAAACUAUGCAUAAAUACGAACACAAAAAAAUAAAAAUAUGAACACACUUAUUCUACCAAAAUUAGGUCACUGGAAUAGUGAUUUCUGCACCGACCUUUAGACUUAUUUUAUGUUUGUUUAUUUUAUGUGUGUUGAAUGUUUGGGGUUUGCAUGAUUAGAUGUGUUGAAUGUUUGUGUUUUUUUUGUUUAUUAAUUUAAUAAAUUUCUAAUACAGAUGAUCUUUUGUAGUAUAGUAGGCCCCUAUAGGUUACGAUAGCCAUUCUUGCCUAACUGAAUCCUCUAUAUUCUCUCUAUAUAAAUCUAGAUCUAUCUAGUAGGUCUAGAUCUAAGCAUUUAACUUCAUUCAAUGUACCAAGCUCACUCCAAACAUUUGCCCAUUUAUUCUCUAUUUAAAAAUAAUAACAACAAACGAACAAAUAUAAUAUAAGAUCAUUUUAUUGAUGUCCAAAACUGGCUGUCCGAAAUAAAUUUUGGUAAGAAAAUCGUAAUUUGAUUCGGACACCGUAUUAAUUUUUUUUUGGUAUGGAAUUAGAAAACUUGGCUUAUGAAUCAAAUAAAUUAGCUCCAAAAACAGAAUAAUUAUUGCCGGGCUCAUUAGUAUAGACUUAGAAAAUAAAAAAAUAUAGUCUUAACUCUAGGAAGAGGUAAAGUCAUCCGGGUAACAUAGGAAAAAACAACAACCUGACUAACUAAUUUGAAAUUCGUUUUUCUUACAUAAAAAGAUGGCUAAAUGGAAGGAAAUUGGGUCAGAAUCAUUGGAAAAUGGACAAGCACAUUAUACAGCGCGCUAGUUUUAUAAUACAUAUUAAAAUAAAAUAAUUAUUUAAUGACCACAAAAAAACAGCGAAUGUCCGAAUUCAUGUAAUGUCCGAAAUAAAUAAACUACUAUAUAUGUGAAUCAUGAAUGGAAGUGCUUGGCUCACAGUGUCACAGAUCGUUCUUUAAACUAUUUGAAGAUCUACUUUAUCUUUACUAACGACUCUAAUCUAUAUCUAGUUUAUAUCUAUAUUUUAUAUGAUAAUAAUAGACCUAGACUCUUAUACUUAUAAUAAAGACAAAGUCAAAGUUAUAAGAUCUAGAAUCUGUAUCUAGAUCUAUUCCCAUUUGUGAUUUAUACACUGAUUAUACACUACAGAUUUAAUGUUUCUGAUGAGCAAUACUACUAUCUACAGCCAUGCCCAUUAACAUAGGCCCUACUCAUGUACUAGAUCUAGCUCUUUUGAUCACAACUCAUAUCUUGCCUAGAUAUAAACAACUGUACUAGAUUGGACUAGACAUUCUAAUUGGUUCUAUUUUCGUUUUUCAUUAUUCUCACAUAUUCUAGUAGGCAAUAGGUACCAAAUUGUGCUAUUUAUUCACUGUAGAUCUAGAUCUUAACUUUUCUCUUAACUACCAAAGAAGUACACAAAGGAUGUUGAAAGGUACCCAAAGGGCUCUAAUUGCUACCAUUCAAUGUGUGGAAUCAAGUAUUUACCCAGAUACUGCCACAAAAUGCUCUUAUUGUUUUCAAAGGAGUUUUCACACAGUGCCAGAAGCUGUAUAAAUAAAUUUAACAAUGUAUAUUUCAAGAAGAAAUGAUGCUUUCUUAUUUCUAAGAGUUUAUCAAUAGGAUGAAUGCCACAAAACUCACUUGUUAUGCCAGAAACUCUUCCUACGAAACUUCCAUACUAGAAUUUGUCCAGUGCCUGUGAAGGAGAAUGUGCUCCAUAAUACCUACUAGGAGCUUGCUGAUAGCUGGAAGUUCAUGAAUACUAUGUUGUCCUUGAUUUGAUGAUUCUGAAAACUACCAUUUCUGAAGACUUGAGCAUUAUUUCUAUAAUUUAAAAAAAUCUUUUCAGGAAAUAUUGUGUUUAUAAUAUUAAGAAAGUGAAGAUAAUAUUGUUCUUACUAAUAUUAUUGACUUAUUAAAAUAGAAAGCACAUCAUUACCAAUAUUCACUUGUCAAUAAAUGUUAGCAUUAUUCAAUUUUUAGUUACAUGUUCAAACUAUUAAAUUUUAUUAUUUAAAUUAUAGCAACUUUCUCUUUCAGUCCAGCUUAAGAUACAUUCCUGUAAAAAGUCUAUAAUAAUAAGUUAAUGUCGAUGUAGUAUUGUUCAGACACUUACAAGUUUAAUCAUCUAUACUUCACAAAAAAAAAGUGUUUGAAUGGUUUUCAUUUGUUUGUACAUCAAAUAUGUAUUAAUAUAAUUAUCAUUUUUAGAUGAAACAUUAAAUACUGAAGAUGACCAUUUCAAUUUCUGAUGUAGGCCUAUUCUCAUUUCAUGAAAUAAAUAGAAUAUUAUCUGAAAUUUCAUCCCUUCAUGGUAACUGUAACUGGCUUCAUAAAAAAAUGGAGUGAUGACUGGGUUGACUAUACAUUUUUGUAUAAAUAAUGCAUCAAUGAAUGUAGCUUAUACUGUUCUUUUCCUCAUUCUUGAAAUGUGUGGACUGAUAAUUAGCUGUUGCAUGAUACUCUAAAUGACAAAUAUCUUCUACUCAUUACAAUAGCAUAUUUCCAUGCUGUUUGGCUAAGUGGAAGCAGAUAAAAUUUGUUCCUCUAUUAGCUGUAAAAUCUCGAAAUUCAUGAGCAGCUGAGAAAAAAAGAAAAGAAAUUCAAACUAGUUUAGACAUGUUAUAAAUAUAUAUAUUUGCUAAUUAAAAAAUGUAAGACUACUUUAUGUUACAACAAUGGACAGCAUCUUUAAAGUUGAUUUCAAUGCAAUCACAAGAAAUAAUUUUUUCUCUACAAUUAGGCCUGCUUUAAUGAUUUUUUUUUAUGUAAAUAAAUUUUAUGCAUAGGAUUAAAUAUAACAUGUACUUAAGGAGAUUUUUUACCUAUUAUUUCACAAUUACAAGUAAUUUAAAGUGAUACAUGUAUUGAUAACACAAUGUUAUUGGAGAAAGUAAAAAAAAAAUCUCACUUGUAAUAGAUCCCUUUUAAUUUGAAAGUUAGUGACAAUCAAAUCAGGUUUUUGGAAGUAGUAUGCUCCUUAAGUAAAAACAAAAACAACGAAAAAUGCAUUAUAAAAAGUUUUCGCUUUAAAUAAAAUUUCUCUUGGGUGACUUGAGUAGAAAGUAAUAGAAAUAUGAACUUCAUUUAGCAAUAUGCUCACACUAAGCAGAAGUGGUUUUUACUAGUGAAAAUUGUCUGUCCAAAUAAGCUAUUGAAACUACUGUUAGCUUCACAUGAUAUGAACUGUAAAGUUUGACAGUUCUUCCUCUAAGACUUUUAGGUACCGGUAUUAUCUAUCAAGAGCAGGGUAAAACAAGGAUGGGUUUUGGCCAUCAACACUAUUCGGAAUGGUUUCGUCUGUACUCUCAUAGCGCCUUGGAAGAUGGAGUAGGCCCUAUAUAUCCACAGUAGAUCGGAUGGAAGGCUUCUUAAACUGGCUUGACCAAAACGAGGAAACUACAUAACCUGAUUAGGGAACUGAUGUUUGACGACCAUGCUGCUCUCACUACCUUUCGCAGUAAUUAUUACAAAGGCUAGUCAAUACUUCGACAGCUGCAGGUCAAUAGUUCAGUCUUACAAUAACUCUCACCAAGACAAAAAAGGGCAUAAAAAGUCAACAUCAUCAAACUCCAUUUGAGUGAGGGCUUGAAAGGCUCAAAUCUUCUCUUGCAAAAGCCCUGGACAGAAACCCUGCUGUAUUGCGUAGUGCAUACAUGUCACCAUACAGAUCGAGAAUUUUUGGUUCUGACCUGUUGAGACGGAGAUCAGCAAGUCUGGGGCAGUCAAACAGAAAAUGAGGCACGGGGGCACCAGGAUUCGAAAUUUGGCCAUAGCCGUGAGAAACAUGAGGCAACAGGACAG
Long non-coding RNA from Biomphalaria glabrata, 4042 nucleotides. RefSeq lists it as uncharacterized. The transcript has 3 exons. The record is from RefSeq and is a predicted model, not a curated record. Lineage: Eukaryota; Metazoa; Mollusca; Gastropoda; Planorbidae.